Molecule: ribosomal RNA, 443 nt
Filed under: uncultured bacterium
Lineage: Bacteria
Description: partial 16S ribosomal RNA
Rfam family: Bacterial small subunit ribosomal RNA
Source: RNAcentral
CCUACGGGAGGCAGCAGUGGGGAAUAUUGGGCAAUGGGCGCAAGCCUGACCCAGCAACGCCGCGUGAAGGAAGAAGGCUUUCGGGUUGUAAACUUCUUUUGUCAGGGACGAAGCACGUGACGGUACCUCACGAAUAAGCCACCGCUAACUACGUGCAUGGAGCCGCGGUAAUACGUAGGUGGCAAGCGUUCUCCGGAUUUACUGGGUGUAAAGGGCGUGUAGGCGGGGAAGCAAGUCAGAUGUGAAAACCACGGGCUCAACCUGUGGCCUGCAUUUGAAACUGUUUGUCUUGAGUGCUGGAGAGGCAAUCGGAAUUCGGUGUGUAGCGGUGAAAUGCGUAGAUAUACCGAGGAACACCAGUGGCGAAGGCGGAUUGCUGGACAGUAACUGACGCUGGUGCGCGAAAGCGUGGGGAUCAAACAGGAUUAGAUACCCGUGUAGUC